RNAcentral lists this ribosomal RNA (977 nucleotides) under uncultured organism. RNAcentral describes it as "bacterial SSU rRNA". It matches the Rfam family "Bacterial small subunit ribosomal RNA", at positions 24 to 1032 of the family's 1533-position model. The record is from RNAcentral.
UCAGAAUGAACGCUGGCGGCAUGGAUUAGGCAUGCAAGUCGCACGAGAAUCCCGCCUUCGGGCGGGAGGACAGUGGCGAACGGGUGAGUAACACGUGAGCAUCUGCCUCCGGGUCGGGGACAGCCCGCGGAAACGCGGAUUAAUACCCGACGGUCCCUUCGGGGCAAAGAGGAAUCGCCCGGAGAUGAGCUCGCGGCCCAUCAGCUUGUUGGCGGGGUAACGGCCCACCAAGGCGACGACGGGUAGGUGGUCUGAGAGGAUGGUCACCCACACUGGGACUGAGACACUGCCCAGACUCCUACGGGAGGCUGCAGUCGAGAAUCAUCCGCAAUGGGCGAAAGCCUGACGGUGCAAUGCCGCGUGGGGGAUGAAGGCCUUCGGGUCGUAAACCCCUGUCAGAAGGGACGAAGCAAGUGACGGUACCUUCAGAGGAAGCCACGGCUAACUACGUGCCAGCAGCCGCGGUAACACGUAGGUGGCGAGCGUUAUUCGGAUUUACUGGGCGUAAAGGGUCCGCAGGGGGUUUGCCAAGUCCGGUGUGAAAGUCCAGGGCUCAACCCUGGAACUGCGCCGGAUACUGGUGAACUGGAGUGCGCGAAGGGCAGGCGGAAUUCCUGGUGUAGCGGUGGAAUGCGUGGAUAUCAGGAAGAACACCGACGGCGAAAGCAGCCUGCUGGCGCGCCACUGACCCUCAUGGACGAAAGCGUGGGUAGCGAACAGGAUUAGAUACCCUGGUAGUCCACGCCGUANACGGUGCAGACCCGAUGCGGGGGGCAGCCCCCUCCGUGUCCAAGCCAACGCGUUAAGUCUGCCGCCUGGGGACUACGGUCGCAAGGCUAAAACUCAAAGGAAUUGACGGUGGCCCGCACAAAGCGGUGGAGCAUGUGGCUCAAUUCGAGGCAAAGCGAAGAACCUUACCCGGACUUGACAUCGAAGCGACCGGCGUGUAAACACGCCUUUCCCUUCGGGGACGCGAA